Molecule: long non-coding RNA, 3708 nt
Organism: Oncorhynchus keta (chum salmon)
Lineage: Eukaryota; Metazoa; Chordata; Actinopteri; Salmoniformes; Salmonidae
Exons: 4
Source: RefSeq, a predicted model, not a curated record
GUGACAGUGCUGAGUAAGAACUUAAACAUCAACUCAUAAAAACAGCAGCUCUUUGCUGUAUUCAUUGACAGUCUCUCUCUAGUCAGGGUUUUAAAUGUUUUGAAAUCUCACAGUAUCAACUUUUCUGUAGCUUUCUUUGAUGCCUGCUACAUUACUGCAGACUCAGUCAUCUGAGCAAUCUGAUUGGCCAGCGGUAGACCUAUAGUGCAUUUGAUUUUCUCUCUGGGCUUUCCAGGGAAGAAAACGUUUGUACCUCAGACACAUAAAAUGGUUCAAAUGGCAACAGUUCGCCUACCCAAAACACUCAGGGCAGCUGAAUCGGGUGCACCUAUCGCCUCAAAAAUAUAGGAACACAAUGCUCUAUCAUUGGGUUUUUUACAGAAAUGUUUGACCAUCGACUAGGAAUGCCUUGGAGAUCGACCAGUCAAUAUUGAUCGACCGGUUGGUGACCACUGCUCUAGAAAGUUGAGUAAAGUUCAACCUCGUGCUACUCUCUGUGGGCUGAUAUUUCUUCUGAGUGGCAGUCUCAGGGGAGCUGCACGGCGGUCUCAGGGGAGCUGCACGGCGGUCUCAGGGGAGCUGCACGGCGGUCUCAGGGGAGCUGCACGGCAGUCUCAGGGGAGCUGCACGGCAGUCUGCGCACCAACACACACACAUUGCACCCAGCCCCCUGUCUAAGACUGAUGUCUGAAGUCAUGUUUGCUUCAUGCUGGCAGAAGGGCUUGUAGAUGUUAUGGUACACUGAUUUAGCGCUGUGUAUCCCCUCUGGCUCUAGAGCUAGGAGGGCCAGAAUGAGAAUAUUUGUGAGAUCCAGAGGAAUUUUGCAGAAACAGAUCCACUUCUGGCAUAACAAUGUGUGUGACUUUGUAGCAGGUUGGUAUUUAUUGCCCUGGAGUCAGAAAUGAGUGAUUUCCCCUUAUAUAUGCCAGCUGUAAAUGUAGGUUUAAAAUGAGAUGACUUUGUGUCUGUGCCAGCUAGUGACCACUCUGCAGAGCUGCCUCCAGAACAAGAGUCAUAACGAAAAACACUAACCUGCCAGCCACAAAGUCAUAAAAGCUGAUUUAGAAACCUCAACCUUGACCACACUAUUAACCCUAACGUGUAACCUUUAAAUUUACGAUCAAAAAGCUCUUCUUUAUUUUUGUUUCCCAUUUUGACUGGCCCAUCUAGCACAAAUCUCUCACUUCUGCCUCCAGGGCAAGAUUCAUGACAAUACACGUCUACCUGUGACUUGGUACCAUUGUUCACUUAGACACGGGCCAGUAGAGAGAACAGCUUCUCUCAGACAUACUGGUUCUGUACAUAACAAGGGCAUGCAAUGACAGAUCCUAAAAUUAUAUUCACAUUUACAUAUCAAAAAGGUUUAAAAAAAAAAAAAAAAGAUUUACAAAAAUACAUGUUUUCAAAUUAUGAUUAUGUUGUGACAUAUACAGUACCAAUAUGACAAAAAAAUGGUGUUACAUUGAAUGUGAGAGUGUAGGUUACUAUUCAAAUGUCAAAUGUCAAAAAUACAGAAAUACCUAAAAAAAAUAUUAUCGUGCCAAAGGGUGUGAGGGCUUGGGAGGGAGGGUAACAUGUUGGGUGGUUUCGUAAAAGUAAACUGUUUUAUUGUUUUGGAUAUUUUCUAUAUAAAUAUAUUCCAGAUUUUCAAACCUUAAGCAAUACUACCCAUACGUGACACACAUCUGCACUGGGUACAAGUCCCGUAGUCUGGAGUACCUCAGUCUCCUAUCACAGCUAUACACACCCCUCCCUUCUACCUACAACUCUCUAAGAAACCAUUCAUCACAGAACAGUGCCAUUGACUAAUGACCUUUAAACAAUGUUGAGAUAGAGAUAGCUUUGUUGUGGCUAUGGAGUGUAAUUUACCUGUGUUUAUGUUGAGAUAACACAGUAUUGAUGCAGCUUGUUGUGUGUGUGUGUGUGUGUGUGUGUGUGUGUGUGUGUGUGUGUGUGUGUGUGUGUGUGUGUGUGUGUGUGUGUGUGUGUGUGUGUGUGUGUGUGUGUGUGUGUGUGUGUGUGUGUGUGUGUGUGUGUGUGUGUGUGUGUGUGUGUGUGUGUGUGUGUGUGUGUGGCAGCAGCAGCAGCUUGACUCAGCACUUUGACUCCAUGUUGCCCCACUGGGCUGUUCCGAGUUACUCUGCUGCCUUGGCAGAAACACAGGAUUCACAGUAACUCCUCAUAUUCCAUUCUAUUAUUUAUAAGGCUGAUUCCUAUAAACAACACUAAGAUCAACCCUAGAAAUGCUAAACUGGUCUGUGGAAAACUGACCUGAGCUCAUAUUUGUGAAUGUAAAAUGGUACACAUCAGCUAGGGCUGGAGAUUUCCACAGGGAGACAGACAGAACAAAGCUCGUUCCACAGGGCUGGAGAUUUCCACAGGGAGACAGACAGAACAAAGCUUGUUCCACAGGGCUGGAGAUUUCCACAGGGAGACAGACAGAACAAAGCUUGUUCCACAGGGCUGGAGAUUUCCACAGGGAGACAGACAGAACAAAGCUUGUUCCACAGGGCUGGAGAUUUCCACAGUGAGACAGACAGAACACAGCUCGUACCACAGGGUUGGAGAUUUCCACAGUGACACACAGCCUGAACACACAUUCUCCUCCUACAGGGCUGUGUCCUAACUUGUGAUACUCACGUCUUAGUUGCUCAAAUCAUACAAUGAUUGGGAGAUUUGCAUGACAUUUCGAGACUCUGGCAUGGGGCGGCAGGUAGCCUAGUGUUUAGAGCGUUGGAAUUGUAACUGAAAGGUUGCAAGAUCGAAUCCCUGAGCUGACAAGCACGCUGGAGGUUGGUGCCUUUUAAGAUGAGUGAGGACGAUACAUGUUUUGUUGCAAACAAGAGUUUCUAUUGGACAAAUUCAGGACCUGAGCCCUAGGACCAUGCCCCAGGACUACAUGACAUGAUGACUCCUUGCUGUCCCCAGUCCACCUGGCCAUGCUGCUGCUCCAGUUUCAACUGUUCUGCCUUACUAUUAUUCGACCAUGCUGGUCAUUUAUGAACAUUUGAACAUCUUGGCCAUGUUCUGUUAUAAUCUCCACCGGCACAGCCAGAAGAGGACGGGCCACCCCACAUAUGCUCUCUCUAAUUCUCUCUUUCUUUCUCUCUCUCGGAGGACCUGAGCCCUAGGACCGUGCCCCAGGACUACCUGACAUGAUGACUCCUUGCUGUCCCCGGUCCACCUGACUGUGCUGCUGCUCCAGUUUCAACUGUUCUGCAUUGUUAUUAUUCGACCAUGCUGGUCAUUUAUGAACAUUUGAACAUCUUGGCCAUGUUCUGUUAUAAUCUCCACCCGGCACAGCCAGAAGAGGACUGGCCACCCCACAUAGCCUGGUUCCUCUCUAGGUUUCUUCCUAGGUUUUGACCUUUCUAGGGAGUUUUUCCUAGCCACCGUGCUUCUACACCUGCAUUGCUUGCUGUUUGGGGUUUUAGGCUGGGUUUCUGUACAGCACUUUGAGAUAUCAGCUGAUGUACGAAGGGCUAUAUAAAUACAUUUGAUUUGAUUUGAUCUUUGAAAGACAGGGCUGAGUUUAGCUUGCUGCAUUUGCUAGCUAAGUAAGUGAAAGUGAAAAAAUGACAAUAUCUCUCUCUCUCCCUCUCUUCCGUCUCCUUAAUUGUUUUAUAAAUUAAUUUGUUCAAAACAGUUCAACUAUUGUCUUUCUCUUUGAGUUAACUAACACAUGGUAUGCACUGCAGUGCUAGCUAG